AACAGGAUUAGAUACCCUGGUAGUCCACGCCGUAAACGAUGUCUACUUGGAGGCUGUGCCCUUGAGGCGUGGCUUCCGGAGCUAACGCGUUAAGUAGACCGCCUGGGGAGUACGGCCGCAAGGUUAAAACUCAAAUGAAUUGACGGGGGCCCGCACAAGCGGUGGAGCAUGUGGUUUAAUUCGAUGCAACGCGAAGAACCUUACCUACUCUUGACAUCCAGAGAACUUAGCAGAGAUGCUUUGGUGCCUUCGGGAACUCUGAGACAGGUGCUGCAUGGCUGUCGUCAGCUCGUGUUGUGAAAUGUUGGGUUAAGUCCCGCAACGAGCGCAACCCUUAUCCUUUGUUGCCAGCGAUUCGGUCGGGAACUCAAAGGAGACUGCCAGUGAUAAACUGGAGGAAGGUGGGGAUGACGUCAAGUCAUCAUGGCCCUUACGAGUAGGGCUACACACGUGCUACAAUGGCGCAUACAAAGAGAAGCGACCUCGCGAGAGCAAGCGGACCUCAUAAAGUGCGUCGUAGUCCGGAUUGGAGUCUGCAACUCGACUCCAUGAAGUCGGAAUCGCUAGUAAUCGUGGAACAGAAUGCCACGGUGAAUACAUUCCCGGGCCUUGUACACACCGCCCGUCACACCAUGGGAGUGGGUUGCAAAAGAAGUAGGUAGCUUAACCUUCGGGAGGGCGCUUACCACUUUGUGAUUCAUGACUGGGGUGAAGUCGUAACAAGGUAACC
This 730-nucleotide ribosomal RNA is filed under the name uncultured bacterium. RNAcentral describes it as "bacterial SSU rRNA". It matches the Rfam family "Bacterial small subunit ribosomal RNA", at positions 771 to 1501 of the family's 1533-position model. The record is from RNAcentral.